GGCGUACGGGUGAGUAACGCGUAGGUAAUCUACCCUAGAAUCUGGAAUAACCUGCCGAAAGGCGGGCUAAUACUGGAUAGAGCGAGGAACUCGUAAAUGAGUUUUUCGGGAAAGGCUGCAAGCAAUUGCAGUUGUUCUAGGAUGAGCCUGCGUCUCAUCAGCUAGUUGGUGGGGUAAAGGCCCACCAAGGCAUUGAUGGGUAGCUGGUCUGAGAGGAUGAUCAGCCACACUGGAACUGAAACACGGUCCAGACUCCUACGGGAGGCAGCAGUGGGGAAUCUUGCGCAAUGGAGGAAACUCUGACGCAGCCACGCCGCGUGAGUGAAGAAGGCCUUCGGGUUGUAAAGCUCUGUCGAGCGGGACGAAUAGCUUGUGGAUGAAUAAGCCAUGAGUCUGACGGUACCGCUAAAGGAAGCACCGGCUAACUCCGUGCCAGCAGCCGCGGUAAUACGGAGGGUGCAAGCGUUGCUCGGAAUUAUUGGGCGUAAAGGGUAGGUAGGUGGUCUCAUUUGUCUGGGGUGAAAGCCUUGAGCUUAACUCAAGAAGUGCCCCAGAAACGGUGAGACUGGAGUCCUGGAGAGGGUCGUGGAAUUCCCGGUGUAGCGGUGAAAUGCGUAGAGAUCGGGAGGAACACCAGAGGCGAAGGCGGCGACCUGGACAGGCACUGACACUCAACUACGAAAGCGUGGGGAGCAAACAGGAUUAGAUACCCUGGUAGUCCACGCUGUAAACGAUGGGUACUAGGUUUGGUGGGUCUUGACCCCCGCCGAACCGGCGCUAACGCACUAAGUACCCCGCCUGGGAAGUACGGUCGCAAGACUAAAACUCAAAGGAAUUGACGGGGGCCCGCAC
Molecule: ribosomal RNA, 852 nt
Filed under: uncultured bacterium
Lineage: Bacteria
Description: bacterial SSU rRNA
Rfam family: Bacterial small subunit ribosomal RNA
Source: RNAcentral